This 468-nucleotide ribosomal RNA is filed under the name uncultured bacterium. RNAcentral describes it as "partial 16S ribosomal RNA". It matches the Rfam family "Bacterial small subunit ribosomal RNA", at positions 28 to 507 of the family's 1533-position model. The record is from RNAcentral.
GACGAACGCUGGCGGCGUGCUUAACACAUGCAAGUCGAACGGAAAGGCCCUGCUUUUGUGGGGUGCUCGAGUGGCGAACGGGUGAGUAACACGUGAGUAACCUGCCCUUGACUUUGGGAUAACUUCAGGAAACUGGGGCUAAUACCGGAUAGGAGCUCCUGCUGCAUGGUGGGGGUUGGAAAGUUUCGGCGGUUGGGGAUGGACUCGCGGCUUAUCAGCUUGUUGGUGGGGUAGUGGCUUACCAAGGCUUUGACGGGUAGCCGGCCUGAGAGGGUGACCGGCCACAUUGGGACUGAGAUACGGCCCAGACUCCUACGGGAGGCAGCAGUGGGGAAUAUUGCACAAUGGGCGGAAGCCUGAUGCAGCAACGCCGCGUGCGGGAUGACGGCCUUCGGGUUGUAAACCGCUUUCGCCUGUGACGUAGCGUAAGUGACGGUAAUGGGUAAAGAAGCACCGGCUAACUACGUG